This 1533-nucleotide ribosomal RNA is filed under the name Triticum aestivum (bread wheat). RNAcentral describes it as "partial small subunit ribosomal RNA". Lineage: Eukaryota; Viridiplantae; Streptophyta; Magnoliopsida; Poales; Poaceae. The record is from RNAcentral.
AUGCUGCCCGUCCAGAUUGGCCAACUGGCCGAUGAUGGAGAUGAGGCAAACAAGGCGUGGACAGGGGAGAAGAGGCGCCGCAAGCACCUGCCCCCAUCAUCUUCCGAUGCUCCUGCCACUGCCCAAGACCAUGGAGACCCAAUUUCUCAUGCCACAGACAUGGAGGACACCAUCCAAGGGGCCCAAGAUCGGAUUCCUCAUGCGACGGACAUGGAGCUGCUGCUCAGAACAGAUUCGGCACAAGAAGAAAGCUACGGGCCGGACUCCCUUGUCAGCGAGGAAGACCAUGGAGACAUGGAGGGCACCAUCCAAGGGUGCCAAGAUCCGAUUUCUCAUGCCACAGACAUGGUGCUGCUGCUCAGAACAGAUUCGGCACAAGAAGAAAUCUUCGGGCCGGACGUCCUUAUCAGGGAGGAAGACCAUGGAGACAUGGAGGACACCAUCCUAGGGGGUCAAGAUCCUUUUCUUCAUGCGACAGACAUGGAGCUGCUGCCCAAAACAGAUUCAGCACAAGAAACAAGCCAGGAUUGCUUCGGGCCGGACUUCCUCAUCAGCGAGGAGGACGAAACCCGUUUUGCCCAACGUUUGCGUUCCAACAUUCCUAUUCCUCGUACUAACCUGCCACUUUAUAUUACAUGGGAGGAAGAAGACAAGAUAGAAGCGCGCCUUGCACGCCUUCGCAUCGCUUAUUACAAGGCUUUGAAGCCGGAGUGCGCACGUGAACUUGAGCUUAAGGAACCAGAAGAAUACACUGAUGAUGAACUUGGUGUUCAGAAACCAUUUCAACACACACUGCAAAAUUCAGCAAUCAAUGAGCUUAUUCUUAACAUGGAUGAUAGUACUUGCGAUGUUGGAUUUGAAAAGCUGCCUUAUAGUGGUCGGAACCUGUACCGCUAUCACGACGAGUACCGCUCACGUUAUCAUACAUAUAAAAUUGAUGAUGUUUAUGUCAAGUACUAUGCAGAAAUUUCAGAGAAAAUCAAGUGGAUUACAAAGUAUUUGCAUCUGGACCGCAGGACGAAGGGUUGGAUAGACAAGGAUACUAGAGCAUGGAGGCAAGCAUUGAAGAUUGCAACUGGCAUUCCUCAUAUGACUGUUUGUUUAGCUGCUUUUGCUUAUAAUGAGUACAUUCUUGAGAUGGAUAAGGAUGCGUCCCUCAAGGACAUAGGUCUUCUCUAUUUUGAGAUCUGGAGGCGUGUCGCUAAGAAAAAUUUAAGUUACAUGGAAGCUGUGAAGGAAGUAUAUGAAAUGGACAAGUUCGAUGUACACAAAAGGAGACUAGAUGGUGAACUGAAAGGGGUUCCUGUCAUUGCAACAAUAAAAGAAUGCAUGCACUACGUUGUCCGACAGGGUGGCAUUGAUGCGAACACCGAUGAGGAUAAAGCUCGGGUUGUGUUUAUGACGGUAUCUCUCAGUAUGCAUAAAGCAAUGAACAUGGCUCAGUACGCUCAGAAGAAGUUGGAUUUAGCAGAUAAGCUGAAGUUGGACAAAGAGGGUGGAGUUGUUCUAUGGGAAAGACCCUUCGAGUUCUGA